AUUUAAAAAAAUAUAUUAUAUGAUAUAAAAAGUAAUUCAAAGGGGUUAUUAAGGAAAACUAAGGCAAAUUUAUAAAAAAGGAGGUAAUAAACCAAAAGCUUCAAGAAAUAUUAAUUUAUUUUCUGAUUGAAAAAAAGCGAUCCUAAGGUAAACCUUGUUUAAAAUUUACUUCCUGAAGUAAAACAUUUUAUUAGGGAAAGGAAAGGAAAUCAACCGAGACUCCGAAAGUAAUGGUGAGUGAAAUCGGAUUAGCCUAAAUUAAUAUUAUAAAUUGAAUAACUUUAACAUAUUUAUUAAAAAGGGGAUCUUUUGAUUUAUCAAUUGAAAUUACUUAAAAUUAUUUAUGUAUUAGUUAGCAAUAAUUUUUGUUUUAAAAUUUUAAUUGGUAUCUAAUCCAAAUAAGAAAAUAAAACAAAUCUUUGCUCUAAAGAAGGUAUCAAUUACUUUAAGUCCUGUAGAUUUAUAAAUUAAUUAAAAGAAUAAAUGAGUUUAUAUAAAAAUAUUUUAAUAGAAAUUAAAAAUUUAAUUUAAAUUAUAUUUUUUAAAUGUCUAAUAAAAAUCUUUAUUGUCUCUAAUCAUUAUUCUAAUAUAAAGUACGAUGAGAGAAAACUUGUCGGAAUAUAGGGGAACCAUCCUCUAAGGCUAAGUAUUAUAAAUUUAGCGAUAGUGAAUAAGUACUGUAAAGGAAAAGUUUGAAAAGCGAGUGGUAUACAAAAAGUGAAUUUUUAAUUUUUUAUUUUUAAUAUUUUAUUUAUUACAGAUAAUUUUAAACUCCUUAAUUGGAUUUUUUUAAAAUAAAUUGUAUUUAAAAAAAUAGGAAUAAAUAAUUUAGAAAUGAAUCGAUGAAAUAGAUCAUGAAUUAGUAACUCUAUAAGCAGUCGAAAUUCUACUUUAACAAAAAGAUUUAUGAAUGACGGCGUACCUUUUGCAUAAUGGGUCAGCAAGUUAAUAGGAGUAGCAAGGUUUAAAGCCCUAGCGAAAGCGACUGGACUAUAAUAAUAUUAUAAAUAAUAAUAUUAAUAAAUAUAGUGAUGGAUAAGUUACUUCUAUUAGACCCGAAGCCAGGUGAUCUUACCAAGACCAGAUUAUAAUGGAUCGAACGGGUGAAUGUUGCAUAAUUCUCCGAUGAGUCUUGGUAAGCGGUGAAAUGCCAAUCUGACCUGGUGCUAGCUGGUUUUCUACCGAAACAUAUUUAAGUAUGAUGUCUACACAAAAUUUAUGGAGGUACAGCAAGGCAAUUCCCAACAAGUUUAAGAGUUGUGAUUAUUUUAAUUACUUCAAAUCUUUUAGGCGUUUAGGUUGUGGGGACCUCGAAAAUCUUACCUUUGGAAGCGAAUCUCGGAAUUACAUAAAUUGAUGGUAGAUAUUCAGACUACUCAUGCUAAGUUGGGUAGUCAAGACGGAAACAGCCGAGAACACUGAUCAAGGUCCCAAAUGAUUGUUAAGUGAAAUUAAGGAUGUAGCAAUAUCGGAUACAGCUGUGAAGUGAGCCUGGUAGUCGCUACUUAUAAUGAUCGUAUGUAACAACGCAUCAGCAGUCUAGAUAGUAGCACCGAAAAUUUAACGGGUCUUAAACAAUCAACCGAUAUCGUGUUGGUUUUGAAUAAAAUUAUUAUUUUUUUUAAUUUAUAUUUAUAUUUAUUUUUAUAUUUAUAUUUAUAUAUUUAUAUUUAUAUUUAUAUUUAUAUUUUAUAUUUAUUCUCUUAUGAUUUUAUUCUUAAUCUAGGUAGUAGAACAUUCAGUCAAACUAAUAAUAAAACAGUGUUUCAUUGUUUUUUAGGUUACUGAAGAGAGAAUGCUGACAUGAGUAACGUAAAAAGAAGUUAUAAUACUUCUCGCCGAAUACAAAAGGGUUGCAAAUUGGAAAGGUUAAUCCGUUUUGUUUGAAUGCGGCCUCUAAGGACCAAAACCAAAGUUUUGGCUGAUGAGUAUAUAAUAGAAAGUCCAUUAAUUUUAAUUAAUGGUCCAAGAAAAUAAUAUUAUAAGUAAUUUAUUUUAAGAUAAAAUUCUCUUUUUUUAAUAUCUCUAAAUUAAAAAUAAAAUUAUUAUUUCUAAUUCUAUAAAAUAUCUCUAAUAGUGUUUAGAUAGUAUUAGAUUAAUUUGUAAAAAAAAAUUUUUAUUUAUUUAUUAGAUUAAUAGUCUUUGAAAAUAAAUUUAGAUAAUUUAUUAUCAUUAAUUUUUCUUUAGUUAUCAUAUUUAAUAAUAUUCUAAUAGAAAUAAAGAUAUAGAAUUUGGAAAAAUUUUUUAUUUUCUUUUUAGAUUAAGAAUGUGAAUUAUAGGUUAAAUUUUUUAUUACUUUAUUUUAUAUUUAUUAAAUUUGGCAAAACGUGCCAGACAACUAUUAGUUAUCAUAAUUAUUAAAAAAAAAUAAAAGUUAAAGGUUAUUUUAAAUAUUAAUCUCUGCAAAUUUUAUUAUAUGUUUUAUUAUAGUUGGAAUUUUGUAGUGCUAAUAUAACUUUACAAAUCUAUAUAGGAUCUUGUUAAAGAGAUCUAUUUCUAAUUUAUUUGUUAAAAUAAUUUAGAGUAUAGUCAUGAUUUAUGAUUAAAUUGGGGUUUUUUCAAUUAUAUUUAUUAUAUUAUCAAGGAUUAUUAUAAAAUUCUUACACUAAAAUUUUAUUUGGGUAUUUGAUUUUUGUAAUUAGAUAGUUGAAAGAUUUAUUAUAUAAUUUAUCAAAGUCUAGUAAAGUUGUCAUUUAUUGAUAAUUAUAGAUUUUGCCUCUCCCUAUUUUGAGUUUAUUAGUUAUUUAAUACCAAGAUCUGUUACUCUUUUUUGUUUUUUUUUUUGUUCAAGAGUGACAGUUAAGAAUUAUUCUAUCUAGGAAAAAUAAUAAAAUUUAGUUAAUUAAAUCAGAAAAAAAAAAAAGAAAAACCCAAAAAUACUAAGAGACUAUCCGGUUUCUUACAAAAAUUGAAAGUAAUUUUAACUAAAUUUAGGACAUUAUUUAUUUUAAAUUAUAAUUUCUAUAACCAAAAUAGAUUGAAUGAUAUCUUUUUUUUUAUGUUUAGUUUAUAUUAUUUUUAUAUGUUAUUUUUAACUUAACUAUUAACUAUAUUAAGUUACUAUAACUUUUUUUUGAUAAAACUAUAAUAAAUUUCAAUAUAACUUUAAUAUUUUUCAUUAAAAAUUUAAAUAGGGUUUUAAGAAAAAGUUAAAAAAUCAUGAACAAAAAACAAAAAGUUGUAUCUAACGAUCUUGUUGUUUAGAAGUAAUAUUUUUUUAUUUUAAAAAAUAUUUACUAAAAAUUUUUUAAAUGUAAUCUAUUUUACUACCGUACCCUAAACCGACACAGGUUUGUAGGUAGAGAAUACUAAGGCGUAGAGCUAAAAGUUGUUAAGGAACUCGGCAAAUUAACCUCAUAAGUUUGACAAAAAGAGGGACCACAAAUAUAAUUUUAAUACUCCGGAUUGUAAAAUUAAUUAUAUAAGGUGGUGGCACAAAAUCGGAGGCCCCGACUGUUUACUAAAAACACAACACAGUGCAAUCAUUAAUAUGAUAGUAUACUGUGUGAAAUUUGCCCGAUGCCAUUAAUAUAAGAGCGGUUAUGGGUAACUGUAACUAAUCGAAAAUCUGGUUAAUAGCGGUCUUAACUAUGAGGAUCCUAAGGUAGCAAAAUCAGUUGGCCAUUAAAUGUGGUCCGGUAUCAAUAAUGUAACGAUGGCCUCACUGUCUCUACAACUUGCUCAGUGAAAUUGAAUUACACGUGCAGAUGCGUGUUACCUCCAGGGGGACGGGAAGACCCUAUGCAGCUUUACUGUAGUUAGUUAUCACAUGAAUCUAGAACAAUCUUAGUUAAUAGUAAAUAGGGAAGUCGAGAGACAAAUAUUGGAAACCUUAAAAUUAAGGUUGGGUUUAUGUUUACCUUACAAUUAAAAAAAAAAGGGAGAGUUGACUAAUUGGCAGUUUGACUGGGGCGGUCGUCUUUAAUAGAGUAGCAAAGUACAUCCAAAUAUUUACUAAAUAUAUUAGGUUUUACACCGAAAUUCUCAAGAUAAGAGUAAUUGCUUAAAAAAGAUUUAUAAUUUUAAUUAAUUUUUGAAUUUUGAUCUUUAAGACAAUUUUUCUUGAUUUGAGUUUAAAACAAAUAACUUGUUCUCUUUCUUUUUAAUAUUAAAGUUUAUCUAAAAAGAGAAAAGUAAGAAUUAAUAGAUAAGAUAACUACCAACAUCUUUAUUUUAAAAUUAAAUCUAUUUUAAUAUUUAUUUUAACUAACAAAAAUUAUAAUGAAUAAUAAGAUAUUAAGUAGAAAAUAUCAUUUUUUAUUAAUUAAAAAAUAAAAUAAAAACUUUCUCUUUAGCUACUUUUCGGUAUCCUUUGCCUUUAGCUUGAGGGUUGUUUUCUUUUUUUAUUUUAAUUUGGAUAAUUAGUCUAGUUUUAAUAGAAGAGUGAAAGCUUUAGCCAUUCAAUGGCUGCUGGUAAGUUAGUGACCCCUUACUACCUCAAAUAACUUUAAGUUUUUACAAAUAAUUUAGAGGAAUAAUAUUUGAGGAAAGGCUAUGUUUAACAAAGCAGUAAGGGACAAGAGUUUGGCUAAAAAUAAUAAUACAAUAAAAAUUUUAUAAGGUAUAGCUAGAAAUUGAAUGGAGAUCAAUCAACCAGUGAAGGGUUGCGCAGAGUUCAAUGGCGGUAAGCAUGCUUAACUGAAAGACCUAAAAGUCACACAGAUACGUAAGUAGGGCAUAGUGACCCCUCGCUAUAAUAUGGGAUAGACGGGGAUCAAUUAAUAAAAGUUACGCUAGGGAUAACAGGCUGAUCGCGGACGAGAGUACACAUUGUCUCCGCGGAUUGGCACCUCGAUGUCGACUCAUCCUAUCCUCCGGGGGAAGAAGCUUGGAAGGGUUCGGCUGUUCGCCGAUUAAAAGGGUACGUGAGUUGGGUUUAAUACGACGUGAGUCAGUAUGGUCCCUAUCUUCUGGAGGAACAAGUAGUAAAAAGGGGCAGACCUUCUAGUACGAAAGGAUCAAUAGGCUGUGUUUCUCUAGUGUACCAAUUGUUUGUACUUUAUUGUAAGGGACUCAAAGUAUCUUGAAGACAAAAGUAAAGAAAAAUGGGGAAAGUCCUUUUUUAAACUUUUUAAAGUUUACUCUUAAUGGUUUAAAAAAAUUAAAUUAUUAAGAAAAAAAGGGUAACAACUCGGAAGGCAUAGUUGGGUAGCCACAAACAUAAUAGAUAAGUGCUGAAUGUCUAUAAAGCAAGAAUCUAACCCCUAGAUACUAAAAAAUGAAUGAUUAUUACCUUAAAUAUAGACUUGAUAAGAGAAUAUAAAACAAGAUAAUAAUUAGUCAUUAAUUAAGAAAUAGAACAUUUCUAGAUAGGCUGCAAAUGA
Molecule: ribosomal RNA, 5324 nt
Filed under: Tricholoma bakamatsutake
Lineage: Eukaryota; Fungi; Basidiomycota; Agaricomycetes; Agaricales; Tricholomataceae
Description: large subunit ribosomal RNA
Rfam family: Bacterial large subunit ribosomal RNA (bases 3144-5308)
Source: RNAcentral